Long non-coding RNA from Hippopotamus amphibius kiboko, 2315 nucleotides. RefSeq lists it as uncharacterized. The record is from RefSeq and is a predicted model, not a curated record. The transcript has 3 exons. NCBI's taxonomy places the organism in Eukaryota, Metazoa, Chordata, Mammalia, Artiodactyla, Hippopotamidae.
GACAGACACAGCCACGGAGCCGAUCCCUUGUCUGGCCUGUACAGAUCAGACAGAAGCCUUUAAGAGCCCUCCCCUGAUCAAUCCCUGAGGUCUCUGCAUUGAUUUCAUGGGAUCAUCGAACUCCCACAUGGCUUCUCAUCUGCUUAUAGCCAUCAUGUAGGGGACCCCUGGCCAGAAGCUGAUCUACUAUAAGACCUAUACUUAGAGUGGAACAGCAGCAUCAGCAACAUGUGGGAGCUGGUUAGGAAUGCGGAACCUGGGACCCCUCCUCAGACCUACUGAAUCAGAAACUGCAUCUUAACAAGAAUCCUUAGGUACUGUUGAAAUCUUCCAGAACCAUUGCGGGACCCUGGUCGGGUGGUUUGAUCCCACUGAUCUGCACAACGCCUGCCUGUUUCUUCCUUUUCCUCAGCUUGACUCUUUUCUAGUUGCCUCUGAAUACCAAGCCCACACAGGAACAUGCUGCCCAUUUUUAGAAUAUCUAUGGGAUAAAUGGGGUUAAGUGUUCAGAACAGAAUCUCAGGUUUUAAGAACAAGUUAAAAACAUGUGUUUGCAAAGCCAAGUCCAUCACUUCAAGGCUUCUAAGAACUGGUUCCAGUGCCCGAGUGCUGACUGUGGAUGAGGAGCCCCUCCCCAGCCAUGUGCUGGGGCCAGAGCCACAUCCACGCCUGUAGGAACAUCAUCCUGGGCUGAGGUGAUAGCUAUACUCACAAUGCGGGGGAGGUACAGUCUCUUGCCCUUUUCUUUAAAAACAGCUUUAAUAAGAAAUAAGGGGCACAUUCUAAAAGAGGAGCCCCAAUCAGGGACUUAGAAGCAAGAAUGCCAGGCUUUUUGCCACAAGCCUUGAAGACCUCAAAGCCUACUGUGUGUCCUGAGAGGAGAAGUGAGUGAGCUGAGGCUUACCAAAACCCUGAAGGACCGCUAAAAAUGCUCGAGGGCCACAGAAGAUGAUGCUGUGAGCGCUCAUUCACUCCACAGAGGUUUUCUUGUGUCAGGCAUAGUCCUGGGCAGUCAUGAAAGAAUAGUCACUACUUGGGGCAGGUGAUGUCCCGUGGCUGGUGACAACUAGGAGCAAAACUUCUCAGCUCUCCUUUUGAACCUGUCUUUCUCCUUGGGGGACAAUGUUCUCAAGAUGAAAAUGUCAGAAGAAAUGGCUCAAAGUGGCACUGACACCCAGCAUUGGGGACAAGAAUAAAACUGCCCUAUGGCCAUAUAAAUGCUCUGUUUGGAAGACUUCAGGGUCAUCGUCAAUGACCUUAGAGAUUUAGACUCUAGAACUGGUCAGGGGUCUGGGAGAAAUCAUGGUGAGCAGAAGUGCCUGAAGAACAGAGACAGGCAAAUGCUGCCCUGAUUUUUUUUAAAUGGGAAAAAAAAUGGGCCCUGGAAGUGUUACAUUGAUAAGUCGGAUGCUGAUUUCUGGACUAGUGGUGUGUACUUAGCAGAGAAAAAGGUGAUAAUUCUUAAUUACCCACUAGCAUGGAUAAGCCAUGCAAAACUAGUCCUAUUUUCUCACUUUUUAUUGUUUUACUAUGAAAGUGUAGCAGAUGGGAUAUAGUUUGCAAAAAGCAAGUUUUAAAAUUUUUAUGUAACUAUCUCAGGGUCUCAUUUUCCAAAAACUUAAUCUAACUAUAUUGGGGGAAAGUCAAUGAAAUAUUAUGAUUUCAAAGUCAUUAUGCAAUUAAAACUCUCUUAUUCAGGUUUCAUUUCCCUAUUUACCUCCUUUCCCCUGGGACUGAUUAUAAGCUCUGGGUUUAAGCAAAUGCCAGUGUUGAAUGAAAAAAAGCAUUUACUUCUACAUCUUAAUCUCGCCUGGUCUGCACUCCCUUGAAAUGUAGAAUUGACUGAAGGUAAUCAAAGGAUAGUUGCCUCUAUGGCCACAUCUACUAAGAGUCUCUGGUCUGGUCCUCCUACUGCUGUCUAUUGGAUGGUCCAUGCCAUUCUCUUCUCUGUUGUUCCCUCUCUGCAAAAAUGGAAUGGCUUCGGGACUUCCCUGGUGGCGCCGUGGUUAAGGAUCCGCCUGCCAACGCAGGAGACAUGGGUUCAAUCCCUGGUCCAGGAAGAUCCCACAUGCCACAGAGCAACUAAACCUGUACGCCUCAACUACAGAGCCUGCACUUUAGAGCCUGCGUGCCGCAACUACUGAGCCCGCAUGCUGCAACUACUGAAGCCUGCACAGCUAGAACCUGUGCUCCGCAACGAGAAGCCUCCAUGAUGAGAAGCCCGUGCACCACAAGGAAGAGUAGCCCCUGCUCACCACAACUAGAGAAAGCCCGCACGCAGCAAUGAAGACCCAAUACAGCCAAAAAAAAACCUC